RNAcentral lists this ribosomal RNA (468 nucleotides) under uncultured bacterium. RNAcentral describes it as "partial 16S ribosomal RNA". It matches the Rfam family "Bacterial small subunit ribosomal RNA", at positions 28 to 507 of the family's 1533-position model. The record is from RNAcentral.
GACGAACGCUGGCGGCGUGCUUAACACAUGCAAGUCGAACGGAAAGGCCCUGCUUUUGUGGGGUGCUCGAGUGGCGAACGGGUGAGUAACACGUGAGUAACCUGCCCUUGACUUUGGGAUAACUUCAGGAAACUGGGGCUAAUACCGGAUAGGAGCUCCUGCUGCAUGGUGGGGGUUGGAAAGUUUCGGCGGUUGGGGAUGGACUCGCGGCUUAUCAGCUUGUUGGUGGGGUAGUGGCUUACCAAGGCUUUGACGGGUAGCCGGCCUGGGAGGGUGACCGGCCCCAUUGGGACUGAGAUACGGCCCAGACUCCUACGGGGGGCAGCAGGGGGAAAUAUUGCACAAUGGGCGGAAGCCUGAUGCAGCAACGCCGCGUGCGGGAUGACGGCCUUCGGGUUGUAAACCGCCUUCGCCUGUGACGAAGCGUGAGUGACGGUAAUGGGUAAAGAAGCACCGGCUAACUACGUG